CGCCGACGUGCGCCGGAAGGAAGGUCAUGCUCGGUGGAUUCGCCCGCGGGGCAAUGCUGCUGCGGACGCUGCGGAACUGGGCUUCCUGGGCGCUGCGCCGCGACAGGCCCGGGAGCCCCGCCUCCAGCCCGGGGUUGCCAAGGGCGCAGCGUUGGGCCUGGCCUCGGGAUAAAGGUAGAGAAAAUGAAAAAGAGAAAAAAUCAGUGAUAUGUGUCGAGGGCAAUAUUGCAAGCGGGAAGACAACGUGCCUGGAGUUCUUCUCCAACACAGCUGACAUCGAGGUGUUAACGGAGCCCGUGCCCAAGUGGAGAAAUGUCCGAGGCCAUAAUCCUCUGGGUCUGAUGUACCAGGACGCCUGUCGAUGGGGCCUCACGCUGCAGACAUAUGUGCAGCUCACCAUGCUGGACCAGCACACUCGUCCUCAGACGUUGCCUGUACGGUUGAUGGAGCGGUCAAUUCACAGCGCAAGAUACGUUUUUGUAGAAAACUUGUAUAGAAGUGGGAAGAUGCCUGAAGUGGACUAUGUGGUCCUGUCGGAAUGGUUUGACUGGAUUGUGAAGAACAUCGACGUGUCCAUUGACUUGAUAGUUUAUCUCCAGACCACUCCUGAGACCUGUUACCAGAGGCUAAAGAUGAGAUGCAGGGAAGAGGAGAAGGUCAUUCCACUGGAAUACCUGGAUGCUAUUCACCACCUGUACGAGGAGUGGCUCAUCAAAGGGAGCCUUUUCCCCGUGGCGGCCCCUGUUCUGGGCAUCUGAAGGAACGUCAGUUGCUGUUCUGGUCUGUCACACAAUGAUGCCCCCUUAGGAGGUGCUGAGGUGAUUGAGGCUGACCACGACAUGGAGAAAAUGUUAGAACUCUUUGAACAAAACCGGCACCGAAUACUAAUUCCAGAGGAUCGGAAGCUUGGUCCAUAGGACGGGGAAGAUCAUGCCAGAGAAAUGCCCGCUGCUGCCAAGUUAGCGCUCACGAGGAGUUUGGAACAAUCCACUCACGAGAGGGCUUUCUAUCUGGGCACAUUUGUCUUCCUAAUGGUCUUCUCUCCUUUGCCAGUGUCUUUAUCCUGGGAUUCUGGCCCUCGUGGGUAAAUGACAUGAUGGGACCAAUGGGUUUGUCGUGGCCCUUUGGUGUCGCAGCCUUGCAUUCCCCCGGUGCUUCUCCUGGUGGUUUCCCACCUCUGAAUCCCUCUAAAUUAGGGAAGAGCCACCUGACUGACCCUGGGCUCAUGGUCUCUAGCCCUUCAGACCAUCCUCGAGGGCGAGGUAGUGGUCUUACAUCCCAGGGGAGGAAGUUGAAGCUCAGACUGGCUAAGGGACUCCCCGGGGUCACACAGCCAGUGACAGUGGAGUCAGCACCAUUCAGACUUCUGGUGACUCCCAAACGAUCAAUCUCUUGCCCCAGGCUGCCUCAUCCCAAGAGCCCUGCCUUCCCUGCUGGAGAGCCCCACACGUGUGUGGGAGUGUGUGUGUGUGUGUGUGUGUGUGUGUGGGAGUGUGUGUGUG
Molecule: RNA transcript, 1502 nt
Organism: Globicephala melas (long-finned pilot whale)
Lineage: Eukaryota; Metazoa; Chordata; Mammalia; Artiodactyla; Delphinidae
Gene: TK2
Gene name: thymidine kinase 2
Source: RefSeq, a predicted model, not a curated record